AUGGGUUGAUAUAUGUGUGUGUACGUGUGUGUGUGUAUAUAUAUAUAUACACACACACACACACACACACACACACACACACACACACACACACAU
This 96-nucleotide microRNA precursor is filed under the name Erinaceus europaeus (western European hedgehog). RNAcentral's name for it is "miRNA (ENSEEUG00000019377.1)". Lineage: Eukaryota; Metazoa; Chordata; Mammalia; Eulipotyphla; Erinaceidae. The record is from RNAcentral.